This 601-nucleotide long non-coding RNA is filed under the name Equus caballus (horse). RNAcentral's name for it is "lncRNA (ENSECAG00000048338.1)". Lineage: Eukaryota; Metazoa; Chordata; Mammalia; Perissodactyla; Equidae. The record is from RNAcentral.
CCACCACUGAAGAGACGGAGAGGAAAGCUAAAAAUGGCUCUGUUCAGGGGGUCACAGAAUUUGGAGUCAGCUUUGUGCCUCGGGCCGUGGUCGCGCGCCCACUGUGUUCCUCGGGAGACGCCACACGCGGUUGCAGGCGGGCGCGGGCGGGGCGCUCAGCAUGGCAAGUCUGCACGUGUAUCCAAGUUGCCGCGACUCAGCGAUGAUUUUCUGGCAGAUCUGAGCCAGGAGAGGGUUAAGAUCAAGUUAGAGGAGGUGUUUCAUAACCAGAGACGCUGCUACAGCAUGGCUUGAUGAGUGGUAUGCAGUUCUGUGCCCAGGAUCCAAACCCAGGAACACCAGGCCACCGAAGUGGAGUGUGCAAACUUAACCACUAUGCCACCAGGCCGGCCCCCAUGAAGAACUCUUUAACACACCUUUGGGCAUUCUUGUUGGGCUUUCUCUAUCUCUCAAAGACCUAAGGUCCAGAGUAUAUUUUGGGAAGGCUUGCUUUAUACUCAGAGAGAAUUGCUUCCUCCUACUUUAAAAACAGAAAGGAAGAUAAAGAUCUCAUUUCCAUAACACAAUGUAUAAAGACAACCUGAUUCAGCUGAUGACUGCC